UUGUAGGCAAAACCGGAGCACCCAGAGAAAACCCACGCAAACGCAGGGAGAAUUUGCAAACUCCACACAGAAAUGCCAGCUGAUCCAGCCGAGGCUCGAGUCAGCAUCCUUGCUGUAAGGCGACAGCACUACCUAUUGUGCCACCACGUCACGCUCUUAUUAAAUUAUAUUUAUAUAAUAUAUUGUGUUUCAGUACAUGCUAUUUUGGGAAGACAAAAUAUAUUCAUAAGCUCUCAGAAAAUUCAAUAAGAGAAUUAACUGCACAAUUACUUGAAAUGCGUGGAUGGGAUUACAUUAUUUGUUAACCCAAAGUGAGUUUCUCUUUCUUUGCAGUAUUGGAUGCCUGAUUGCAGUUCAACUCCAAACUCAGUUGGACCAGCUGAUCAGUGUCUUCAGUAUUACCACAAGCUACUGGGCAGAUGUGUGGACACGACAGCUAUGAGCCAGACUUGGGACGUUUGGUUUUUAGCAGGUGGAGAGACCGUCUGGGCAGCAGAAACAAGACAACUAAUCAUAUUUAGAUACAAUCAAAUGUCCAAACCAUCUCUGAGUGAAUGACAUCAAGGAAACAGGAUCAAAAGAUCAUUCAUUAUAGACCGUUUCAUAGUUGGUUAUAUUUUUCAGGUCAUUCUGUUCUCCUGGUUGUGAGCAUGUGCAGAGGCUGUAUUUGUCAGUGUUAAAAGACUAUCCAGACAUACAAGCAGCCGACAAAGAGUUCUGGAGCAGGACAGACAGGGCAGCACGGUGGCGCAGAGGGUAGCACGUUUGCCUCACAGCAAGAAGGUCGCUGCUUCGAGCUUCGGCUGGAUUGGUGUACGCUGAUGGUCUGCUGAGAAUUCUCCGGAGUUGAAGGGAUCCUCCUGUCAGACAACCUCUCCAAAGUACAAUAGGACUAGGUUCCCACUACAAGGAUUAGAUUUGGCUACUGCAGUCCCGGUUUGGGCCAGCCUCACUUGUGAAGACUAAAGAUGAAGACAACAUACAAGAACAAUUUAGAGGAUGGCGACACACUUUUUAUUCCACCUAUAUAUCCCCUUUUAUGUGUAAGCAAAAUUCCACAAGAUAAAACAAAACUAAAUGACAGGUUGUUUCUUUUAAUUUUAUCGGUUUUCUUGGAACAUUGUACACAAUUUACAACCAGUUAUAUAUAUAUAUAUAUAUAUAUAUAUAUAUAUAUAUAUAUAUAUAUAUAUAUAUAUAUAUAUAUAUAUAUAGGUCAGAGCAAGAAAAUGUUAUGUUUUCUUCUGGAGAAAGUCUUAUUUCUUUUAUUUAUAUUUUAGUUUUGAAUUAAAAAAAAAAAACAUUUUAAGGUCAAUAUUAUCAGCCUCUUUAAGCAAUUUUUUUCGACUGUCUACAGAACAAACCAUCGAUAUACAAUAACUUGCCUAAUUACCCUAACCUGCCUAGUUAAGCCUCUAAAUGUCACUUUAAGCUGUAUAGAAGUGUCUUGAAGAAUAUCUAGUCAAAUAUUAUUUACUCAGUUAUUAGAAAUGAGUUAUUAAAACUAUUGUGAUUAGAAAUGUGUUAAAAAAUAUUUCCGUUAAACAGAAAUUAAGGGAUUAUAUAUAUAUAUAUAUAUAUAUAAUCCCUUAAUUUCUGUUUAACGGAAAUAUUUUUAUAUACAAUAUAUAUAUAUAUAUAUAUAUAUAUAUAUAUAUAUAUAUAUAUAUAUAUAUAUAUAUAUAGAAUGACAAAAUCUGUUUUGUGUCGUGCAUUAGUUUGCUUAAAAAAACUGGUUAUCUCUGAGAAAGUAUUGUUAUUUUAUAAUAUUGAUGUGUUAUUAGUUCAUAGGAGAUUUCAAAUUGUUGAAUGCCAUUUAUAAAAAAAAUUGUACUACAGACUUUAAUAAGAUUUUAUCAGACAAUUAUUUUAAUUUGUAUGAUUUUAUUUACUACUGUAAAUAUUGUUUGCUUGGUAUUUAUUUUGUGUUUGUGUUCUCUUUUAUUAUUGUAACUCCCUGAAGAAAGUCUUUUGGAUACUGAACACAUGACUGGAAUUAUCUUGUAUUUUAAAAUUAUAGUCUUGGAAAUAUGCAUUUUCUUUAACACUAUUUAAGAAAUUAUAAGCAUUAUAACAUGUGCUUACACACGUUAUUUGUGUUUUUACUAUAGUAAACUAUAGUCACCCUUAGUGUACAUCUUUUGAAGUACUUGUAAAUAUUCCUAUGGUCUUAAUAUAAAUGCUGCAAUGAACUUUGUAUUUAAAAUCUUUAUUGCACAGUAGCUUAGCCAUGGUUAUAGUACAACUUGUUGGUUUUGUUUUAAACGUGGUGGUUAUGUGUGAUAAAAGUAUGUUAAUCUAUUUGUAUGUUUGUGAAAAUAUUAAUAAAUCUUCAACUGUUA
This is a non-coding RNA of Danio rerio (zebrafish), 2342 nucleotides long. The record is from Ensembl. Lineage: Eukaryota; Metazoa; Chordata; Actinopteri; Cypriniformes; Danionidae.